This 450-nucleotide ribosomal RNA is filed under the name uncultured bacterium. Its description in RNAcentral is "bacterial SSU rRNA". It matches the Rfam family "Bacterial small subunit ribosomal RNA", at positions 29 to 524 of the family's 1533-position model. The record is from RNAcentral.
AACGAACGCUGGCGGCAUGCCUAACACAUGCAAGUCGAACGAAGCCUUCGGGCUUAGUGGCGCACGGGUGCGUAACACGUGGGAAUCUGCCCUUUGGUUCGGAAUAACAGUUAGAAAUGACCGCUAAUACCGGAUAAUGACGUAAGUCCAAAGAUUUAUCGCCGAAGGAUGAGCCCGCGUAGGAUUAGGUAGUUGGUGGGGUAAUGGCCCACCAAGCCGACGAUCCUUAGCUGGUCUGAGAGGAUGAUCAGCCACACUGGGACUGAGACACGGCCCAGACUCCUACGGGAGGCAGCAGUGGGGAAUAUUGGACAAUGGGCGAAAGCCUGAUCCAGCAAUGCCGCGUGAGUGAUGAAGGCCUUAGGGUUGUAAAGCUCUUUUACCAGGGAUGAUAAUGACAGUACCUGGAGAAUAAGCUCCGGCUAACUCCGUGCCAGCAGCCGCGGUAAU